CACGGGGGGAGCAAGCGUUGUUCGGAAUCACUGGGCGUAAAGGGCGUGCAGGCGGUCAGGUAAGUGAGAUGUGAAAUGCCCCGGCUCACCCGGGGACCGGCAUCUCAUACUGCUUGGCUUGAGUACGGGAGAGGAUGUGGGAAUUCCUGGUGUAGCGGUGAAAUGCGUAGAUAUCAGGAGGAACACCGGUGGCGAAGGCGCACAUCUGGCCCGAUACUGACGCUGAGGCGCGAAAGCUAGGGGAGCAAACGGG
Molecule: ribosomal RNA, 253 nt
Filed under: uncultured bacterium
Lineage: Bacteria
Description: partial 16S ribosomal RNA
Rfam family: Bacterial small subunit ribosomal RNA
Source: RNAcentral